Molecule: ribosomal RNA, 429 nt
Filed under: Chloroflexota bacterium
Lineage: Bacteria; Bacillati; Chloroflexota
Description: Chloroflexi bacterium partial 16S ribosomal RNA
Rfam family: Bacterial small subunit ribosomal RNA
Source: RNAcentral
UGGGGAAUAUUGCACAAUGGGCGCAAGCCUGAUGCAGCCAUGCCGCGUGUAUGAAGAAGGCCUUCGGGUUGUAAAGUACUUUCAGCGGGGAGGAAGGGAGUAAAGUUAAUACCUUUGCUCAUUGACGUUACCCGCAGAAGAAGCACCGGCUAACUCCGUGCCAGCAGCCGCGGUAAUACGGAGGGUGCAAGCGUUAAUCGGAAUUACUGGGCGUAAAGCGCACGCAGGCGGUUUGUUAAGUCAGAUGUGAAAUCCCCGGGCUCAACCUGGGAACUGCAUCUGAUACUGGCAAGCUUGAGUCUCGUAGAGGGGGGUAGAAUUCCAGGUGUAGCGGUGAAAUACGUAGAGAUCUGGAGGAAUACCGGUGGCGAAGGCGGCCCCCUGGACGAAGACUGACGCUCAGGUGCGAAAGCGUGGGGAGCAAACAGG